UAUGAACAUAGAUCCUUUUCUCCCUUUACCUUUGGGAAGACUAUACAUACAAGAAAGUUGUAAGUAUUGUUUCCGUCGGCUUUGACAUCAAUCCAAGGCGGAGGAGAUAUGAGACGCCGACCUGGAAUUGGUGGAUUGCAGACUGCUGCAGCUGCUAGGGAUCAAUACAGAUUACUAGGAGAAAAUGUAGCAAAACUAAGAACAGAUUUGAUGAAAGAGCAGCUCUCCACCUUCCGCUCCCAAUUAGAAGACUUCGCUCGCAAACACAAGAAUGAUAUUCGUAAGAACCCCGCGUUUCGGUCUCAAUUCCAUGAGAUGUGUGCUAAAGUUGGUGUUGAUCCUCUUGCCUCUAAUAAGGGUUUCUGGGCUGAGCUUCUCGGCAUUGGUGACUUCUAUUAUGAACUCGGAGUGCAAAUUGUUGAUAUAUGCCUGGCUACUAGAGCUCAUAAUGGAGGUCUGAUCAAGUUGGAGGAACUCUGUAAAAUUCUAUGCCAAAGACGGAAAGGUGCUCGUGAAGCUGUCUCCGAAGAUGACUGUUUACGUGCUAUAAGUAAACUGAAGGUAUUAGGCAGUGGUUUUGAGGUGAUUUCUGUUGGAAAAAGAAAGCUUGUCCGAUCUGUUCCUACUGAACUGAACAAGGACCACAAUGAAAUUUUAGAGAUGGCUCAGGUUUUCAUAACCAUCACAAUCACCAUGAUUGUUUUACUAUGCUCAGGGAUUUGUUACUGUUGAAGAGGUAGAGAGACGGCUAUCCUGGUCAUCUGGCCGUGCGAUCGAUGCCCUCGAAACUUUAUUGGAUGAGGGCCUUGCCAUGAUAGAUGAUGGCCACCGAGAUGGACGACGCCGAUACUGGUUCCCCUGUGUAUCGUCCAUAUCUUCAUAUGUUGGAGCUGAAACAAUAUAAGAUCUGGUCAUACUGUCAGUUACAAACAAGAUGAAUAAUGUAUUUAUUUUUAAUAUAAAAUAUAUGAAAGUUGUCAUAGUAAGAGCUAUGAAUUUUGAUACAAUAUUAGUAUAAUCUUGUUGCUUAUUU
RNA transcript from Daucus carota subsp. sativus, 1033 nucleotides. It is a transcript of the gene named vacuolar protein sorting-associated protein 22 homolog 1, with no coding region annotated. The record is from RefSeq and is a predicted model, not a curated record. The transcript has 7 exons. NCBI's taxonomy places the organism in Eukaryota, Viridiplantae, Streptophyta, Magnoliopsida, Apiales, Apiaceae.